AUUGAACGCUGGCGGCAUGCCUUACACAUGCAAGUCGAACGGCAGCACGGGAGCUUGCUCCUGGUGGCGAGUGGCGAACGGGUGAGUAAUACAUCGGAACGUACCCUGAAGUGGGGGAUAACGUAGCGAAAGUUACGCUAAUACCGCAUAUUCUGUGAGCAGGAAAGAGGGGGAUCGCAAGACCUCUUGCUUUAGGAGCGGCCGAUGUCGGAUUAGCUAGUUGGUGAGGUAAAGGCUCACCAAGGCGACGAUCCGUAGCGGGUCUGAGAGGAUGAUCCGCCACACUGGGACAGAGACACGGCCCAGACUCCUAUGGGAGGCAGCAGUGGGGAAUUUUGGACAAUGGGCGGCAAGCCUGAUCCAGCCAUGCCGCGUGAGUGAAGAAGGCCUCGGUGU
Molecule: ribosomal RNA, 396 nt
Filed under: uncultured bacterium
Lineage: Bacteria
Description: bacterial SSU rRNA
Rfam family: Bacterial small subunit ribosomal RNA
Source: RNAcentral